UGUUGCCCAAUCUUACUAAUAUACCCUUCCUUCAAAUAUUUUUUACACUAACAAAAGGCUAUCUAAGUAAUUAACAAAAUAAAUAUUGCUCAAUGCCAUUUGUGUGCUUCUCAUUGGUCACUUCUAAAAAAUUUUGUACUUCCAUUUCACUUUUGAGCACAUUUCGUUUCCCUGAUACCCACUCCUCUGCAAAACAAGCUUCAUCGUUUGUACUAUGUCAAACAAGCCAACACUUGUCACUUUAUCAUUGGCCACAUUGCUCAUUUGAAAAUUAUCCCUCUCUUCUUCCUCUUCAAUUUCGUUCUCUCUCUCUCUCUCAUCUUCUCUUUUCCCUGAAACCCUAGAAUCACAAAAAAAUACCCCUAAACUCCUCUCUAUUCUGAUUCAGAUCUAGAAACAUGGAAGAAGGAUAUCAUUCCUCUCGCAGUCGCCACCAUCGUGUAUUCAGUCAUCGUCUCAUCGUGCCACCACCAAUGGUUUUUCCGUCGUCAUCUCUUCUCGCCACCACCACUGUUUUUGGCGCCGUUAUCUCUUCUCGCCACCACCAUUGUUUUUGUCCCUGGUUUUUGAAAAACCCUCUCUCUCUACGCUAUGCAGGUCUUCUUUAAUCAAAGGGUUUUUUCAUUCUUCAGCAUGUUUUUGUUUGUUGGUUUUACUAGAUCCAUGUUUCACUGAGUUUAAUUUAUUAUUUCCCCUCUCUCACAUUUUAUUGCAAUUUGUUUUGAAAAUAUUUAGGGUUUUCAAAAAUCUUAUGGAAAUGAAGUAGGUGCACAAUUGAAGAGAUAUACCAUGGAUUAGAGAUCGAAGAGAUAAAGAGUUCACUGUUGAAUGGAAGGUUUUGUCUUAGUUCCUCUCUCAGUACAAGCUCACGGGUAGAAAAUAUGGAUGAUGGUCUCUUAGCUUUAACUUGAUCUGGUUCUUUUUAUAUUAACUUCACCUUUCUUCUUCUAACAUAUGGUUUUCUCUCUUUAUAAACCUGUUAUAUUUUAUCAACUUUAGCUUUCUAUCUCGCAGCAAAACCUCAACCAUUCUCAAGGAACUGGAGGUUCUAUGGAACUAAAGUGCCCACAAAAUCAGAAUCUGGUUCGGAUAUUUUCAGCAAGCGGGAAGUUAUACAGAAACUGCGGCAAUAAUUGAAGAGAAGAGACGAUAUGAUGCUAGAAAUGCAAGAUCAAAUGGCUGAAUUGCAAAAUUCACUCUAUGCCCAGCUGGGGCUUUCUUCUCAUUUAAAAUCGUAGGUUGAAGCUGCAAACAAGGACCUAUUUGAUUCUGAGAGAUCCAACAGCUAAGGAAAGCAAUUGCAGAUCACUAAGUUGGAUAUGUUCCUCAUGACAAAUCUCCCACAGGCACAACUUGGUUUGUGCAUUGUGGUGAACCUGAAUACUUUUCAUUUACAGUGUCUUCCCUCAUGUUUAAUCCCUAAAGUAUAUACAUAUAAUAAAUAGUCUCCUAAAUAUAUGAAAUUGGUGAUGUUAAUCUCUUGCAUCUUAAUAGUAUGGAAGACAUAUUAUCAUUUUCAAAGUAGUUAAAUUAACAGAUCCUGGAAGACAUAUAUCAAUUUGGAUUGAUUCUACUUGAACUUAUCAUUUUCAAAGUGGUUACAUCUUCUAUGGAAGUUGAGGUGCUGAUGUAUGAGCUUGAGAGAGGUUUAUGUGAAGUUGCAUCACCGACGCGCUGAGGAGUGCUAUUGAUCCUUCGCUCCAUGGAACUUAUGCACAUGAAUCAUUGAAGAUUGCAGUUCUGAUCAUCAUCAACUGUCUCAGCAAGGUUUCCGGUGAUCGACCUUCUAUAGAAGAUAUUCUCUGGAAUCUGCAGUACUCCAUGCCAGUUCAAGAAGGAAGGUCCAGCAAAGCCUCAACAUGAAUAUGUUGAUCAUUCUGUGGCAGAGAGUUUUGGUGGAGAAAAAAGAGCAUCCAUUACACCUAGAAUUUAUCCCAGAUGAGAGUUUUUUGUUCUUUUGAAGCUAUAACAUGUUUUGAAGCCUAUUUUAUGCUAUAAUGUUUAGGUAGACAAAUUUCAGUGUGCAGGCUUAUGAAUUAACUGUAGUAAAUAUACAUUGCAGAAUCUAAUCAAAGAAUAUA
Long non-coding RNA from Vicia villosa (hairy vetch), 2081 nucleotides. RefSeq lists it as uncharacterized. NCBI's taxonomy places the organism in Eukaryota, Viridiplantae, Streptophyta, Magnoliopsida, Fabales, Fabaceae. The record is from RefSeq and is a predicted model, not a curated record. The transcript is spliced from 4 exons.